This 2900-nucleotide ribosomal RNA is filed under the name Clostridioides difficile. RNAcentral describes it as "23S ribosomal RNA". It matches the Rfam family "Bacterial large subunit ribosomal RNA". The record is from RNAcentral. Lineage: Bacteria; Bacillati; Bacillota; Clostridia; Peptostreptococcales; Peptostreptococcaceae.
UGGUCAAGUUAUUAAGGGUGCAGGGCGGAUGCCUUGGCACUAGGAGCCGAUGAAGGACGUGAUAAGCUGCGAUAAGCUUCGGGGAGUUGCACGUAAACUUUGAUCCGAAGAUUUCCGAAUGAGGAAACUCACUUAGAGUAAUGUCUAAGUAUCAUUAAGUGAAUACAUAGCUUAAUGAGGGGAACUCAGGGAACUGAAACAUCUAAGUACCUGAAGGAAGAGAAAGAAAUUCGAUUCCGUAAGUAGCGGCGAGCGAACGCGGAUUAGCCCAAACCAAUAAAGUUUUCUUUAUUGGGGUUGCGGACAUAUCAUAACGAAGAGGUAUCGUAAUUGAAGAGGUUUGGAAAGACCCACCACAGAAGGUAAUAGUCCUGUAUGUUAAACGAAAAGACUUUAGAUAUGAUCCAGAGUACCACGGGACACGUGAAACCCUGUGGGAAGCAGGAGGGACCACCCUCCAAGGCUAAAUACUACCUAGUGACCGAUAGCGUAUAGUACCGUGAGGGAAAGGUGAAAAGAACCCCGGGAGGGGAGUGAAAUAGAACCUGAAACCCUGCACUUACAAGCUGUGGAAGCACAUUUCUUGUGUGACCGCGUACUUUUUGUAGAACGGGCCAACGAGUUACGUUAAGUAGCAAGGUUAAGCACUUAAGGUGCGGAGCCGUAGCGAAAGCGAGUUUUAACUGAGCGUUCAGUUACUUGACGUAGACCCGAAACCGGGCGACCUACCCAUGAGCAGGAUGAAGCGAAAGUAAAAUUUCGUGGAGGUCCGAACCCACGAGCGUUGAAAAGCUCGGGGAUGACUUGUGGGUAGCGGUGAAAUUCCAAUCGAGCCCGGAGAUAGCUGGUUCUCCCCGAAAUAGCUUUAGGGCUAGCCUCAAGGUGAGAGAUACGGAGGUAGAGCACUGAAUGUCCUAGGGGGUAUUGCACCUACCGAAGACUAUCAAACUCCGAAUGCCGUCAUCUUAUACUUGGGAGUCAGACUGUGGGUGAUAAGAUUCAUAGUCGAAAGGGCAACAGCCCAGAUCGUCAGCUAAGGUCCCUAAAUGUAAGUUAAGUGGUAAAGGAUGUGGGAUUGCACAGACAACCAGGAUGUUGGCUUAGAAGCAGCCACUCAUUCAAAGAGUGCGUAAUAGCUCACUGGUCGAGUGAUCCUGCGCCGAAGAUUUCCGGGGCUAAAACUUACUACCGAAGCUACGGCAUCAGUAAUGAUGGGUAGGGGAGCUUCCCAUACGGGUUGAAGCAUGACCGUAAGGACAUGUGGACAGUAUGGGAGUGAGAAUGUUGGCAUGAGUAGCGAGAUGUGGGUGAGAAUCCCACAGGCCGUAAACCCAAGGUUUCCAGGGGAAGGUUCGUCCGCCCUGGGUUAGUCGGGACCUAAGCUGAGGCCGAAAGGCGUAGGUGAUGGACAACAGGUUGAUAUUCCUGUACUACCGAUAACCGUUUGAGAGAAGGGAUGACACAGUAGGAUAAGCUAAGCACACUGUUGGUUAUGUGUGCCCAAGCAUUGAGGCAGUCAAAGUAGGCAAAUCCGCUUUGAUAAUGCUGGGAUGUGAUGGGGAGCGAAAUUUAGUAGCGAAGUAGCUGAUUUCACACUGUCAAGAAAAGUCUCUAUCGAGGUUAAAGGUACCCGUACCGCAAACCGACACAGGUGGGUGAGGAGAGUAUCCUAAGGCCAGCGAGAGAACUGUUGUUAAGGAACUCGGCAAAAUGACCCCGUAACUUAGGGAUAAGGGGUGCCACCAUCAGGUGGCCGCAGAGAAUAGGCCCAAGCGACUGUUUACCAAAAACAUAGGUUUCUGCUAAGUCGCAAGACGAUGUAUAGGAGCUGACGCCUGCCCGGUGCUGGAAGGUUAAGGGGAUCUGUUAGAGCAAUCGAAGCAGUGAACUUAAGCCCCAGUAAACGGCGGCCGUAACUAUAACGGUCCUAAGGUAGCGAAAUUCCUUGUCGGGUAAGUUCCGACCCGCACGAAAGGCGUAACGAUUUGGGCACUGUCUCAACAACAGACUCGGUGAAAUUGUAAUUCCGGUGAAGAUGCCGGAUACCUGCGACAGGACGGAAAGACCCCAUGGAGCUUUACUGUAGCUUGACAUUGGGUCUUGGUACUACAUGUACAGGAUAGGUGGGAGGCUUUGAAACCAGGACGCCAGUUUUGGCGGAGCCAUCCUUGGGAUACCACCCUUGUAGUACUGGGACUCUAACCAUAGGCCAUGAAUCUGGUCUUGGGACACUGUCAGGUGGGCAGUUUGACUGGGGCGGUCGCCUCCCAAAAGGUAACGGAGGCGCUCAAAGGUUCUCUCAGUACGGUCGGAAAUCGUACGUAGAGUGUAAAGGCAAAAGAGAGCUUGAUUGCAAGACAUACAGGUCGAGCAAGGAUGAAAAUCGGACUUAGUGAUCCGGUGGUUCUGCGUGGAAGGGCCAUCGCUCAACGGAUAAAAGCUACCCUGGGGAUAACAGGCUUAUCUCCCCCAAGAGUCCACAUCGACGGGGAGGUUUGGCACCUCGAUGUCGGCUCAUCACAUCCUGGGGCUGUAGUAGGUCCCAAGGGUUGGGCUGUUCGCCCAUUAAAGUGGUACGCGAGCUGGGUUCAGAACGUCGUGAGACAGUUCGGUCCCUAUCCGUCGCAGGCGUAGGAAAUUUGAGAAGACCUGUCCUUAGUACGAGAGGACCGGGAUGGACGUACCUCUGGUGUACCAGUUGUCCUGCCAAGGGCAUGGCUGGGUAGCUAUGUACGGAAUGGAUAAGCGCUGAAAGCAUCUAAGCGCGAAGCCAACUUCAAGAUAAGAUUUCCCACCGCAAGGGUAAGACCCCAGAAAGACUAUCUGGUUGAUAGGUCGAAGGUGUAAGUGCAGCAAUGUAUUUAGCUUAUCGAUACUAAUAGGUCGAGGACUUGACCAAU